UACGGGGGGGGCAAGCGUUGUUCGGAAUUACUGGGCGUAAAGGGCUCGUAGGCGGCCAACUAAGUCAGACGUGAAAUCCCUCGGCUUAACCGGGGAACUGCGUCUGAUACUGGAUGGCUUGAGAUUGGGAGAGGGAUGCGGAAUUCCAGGUGUAGCGGUGAAAUGCGUAGAUAUCUGGAGGAACACCGGUGGCGAGGGCGGCAUCCUGGACCAACACUGACGCUGAGGAGCGAAAGCCAGGGGAGCAAACGGG
RNAcentral lists this ribosomal RNA (253 nucleotides) under uncultured bacterium. RNAcentral's name for it is "partial 16S ribosomal RNA". It matches the Rfam family "Bacterial small subunit ribosomal RNA", at positions 524 to 776 of the family's 1533-position model. The record is from RNAcentral.